UGGGUCGUCAACCGCACGAAGCCCAUGCCGUGUAUCAGCCUCGCUCGACCAUCUCCUUCCUUGCGCCGCAUACCACCCCGCAGCGCCUGCUCCGCUUCCCCAAUCUCUCCUCUGGCAUCGCCACCGGCAAAAGCGACCUUGAGCGGAGGGCCACUACCCCAAUUUCGAUCUCGAGUAGAGACGCCCCUCCUGGUGGAAUCCACGUGGUGGUCGGCAAGGAUAGCGGCGGCGGCAACUACUCUCUCACGCCGCGCUCUAGCUGCAUCCUCUCUCAGCGACGUCGUCAACCCCCUUGAUCCCUUGUCACCAUUCGCGCCUCGGAGAUGAUGAUGAUAUGUUCCACAUCAACCAGAUCUCUUUGUGGGAAGUCUCCCCUCCUUCCCACUUAGUCAAAUAUGGGACUGGUUACAGAGUCCGAAUCCAAGUCCAGUGUCUGCAAAGAUCCAGCGACCACGAGGGCACGCAGUUACUCAUCUGUGGCACAUCUUCUUGUUUUGGAUUCGGUCAAAAAAGGGUAGCCUAUUUUCAUCCCUAGCAAUUUCAUGUGCAUUUGUUGUAAAAAGUCUGUUGUAAAGUGGAACACUUGAUUCUUGGGAUAUUUCUUCUAUGAGGAUUUAAAGUA
Molecule: long non-coding RNA, 622 nt
Organism: Triticum aestivum (bread wheat)
Lineage: Eukaryota; Viridiplantae; Streptophyta; Magnoliopsida; Poales; Poaceae
Exons: 2
Source: RefSeq, a predicted model, not a curated record